Molecule: non-coding RNA, 78 nt
Organism: Chrysemys picta bellii (western painted turtle)
Lineage: Eukaryota; Metazoa; Chordata; Testudines; Emydidae
Source: Ensembl
ACCAGCUAUAAAGAGAGCCAUAGCAGCAGUGUUCACGUUAUGGCCUCUGUCAGAUUCUUUGUAUCUCUGAAUCCUGCC